UUUCCGUAGGUGAACCUGCGGGAGGAUCAUUAAAGUUAUAGUCCCCCGGCCCCUCCGGGCUGGGGUCUUCUAUACCACCCUUUGUUUAUUACACCUUUGUUGCUUUGGCAGGCCUGCCCUCGGGCUGCUGGCUCCGGCCGGCUCGUGCCUGCCAGAGGACCUAAACUCUGUUUGUAUAUGAAGUCUGAGUACUAUAUAAUAGUUAAAACUUUCAACAACGGAUCUCUUGGUUCUG
RNAcentral lists this unclassified non-coding RNA (235 nucleotides) under plant metagenome. Its description in RNAcentral is "partial contains small subunit ribosomal RNA, internal transcribed spacer 1, and 5.8S ribosomal RNA". The record is from RNAcentral.